AGUUUGAUCCUGGCUCAGGAUGAACGCUAGCUACAGGCUUAACACAUGCAAGUCGAGGGGCAGCAUUGGAGUAGCAAUGCUUCAGAUGGCGACCGGCGCACGGGUGAGUAACACGUAUCCAACCUGCCGCUUACUCGGGGAUAGCCUUUCGAAAGAAAGAUUAAUACCCGAUGGUAUAAAGAGUUCGCAUGUUCUCUUUAUUAAAGAAUUUCGGUAAGCGAUGGGGAUGCGUUCCAUUAGAUAGUUGGCGGGGUAACGGCCCACCAAGUCUACGAUGGAUAGGGGUUCUGAGAGGAAGGUCCCCCACAUUGGAACUGAGACACGGUCCAAACUCCUACGGGAGGCAGCAGUGAGGAAUAUUGGUCAAUGGACGAGAGUCUGAACCAGCCAAGUAGCGUGAAGGAUGACUGCCCUAUGGGUUGUAAACUUCUUUUAUAAGGGAAUAAAGUGAGGGACGUGUCCCUUUUUGUAUGUACCUUAUGAAUAAGGAUCGGCUAACUCCGUGUCAGCAGCCGCGGUAAUACGGAGGAUCCAAGCGUUAUCCGGAUUUAUUGGGUUUAAAGGGAGCGUAGGUUGACAUAUAAGUCAGCUGUGAAAGUUUACGGCUCAACCGUGAAAUUGCAGUUGAUACUGUAUGUCUUGAGUGUACAAGAGGUGGGCGGGAUUCGUGGUGUAGCGGUGAAAUGCUUAGAUAUCACGAAGAACUCCAAUUGCGAAGGCAGCUCACUGGGGUACAACUGACACUGAGGCUCGAAAGUGUGGGUAUCAAACAGGAUUAGAUACCCUGGUAGUCCACACAGUAAACGAUGAAUACUCGCUGUUUGCGAUAUACAGUAAGCGGCCAAGCGAAAGCAUUAAGUAUUCCACCUGGGGAGUACGCCGGCAACGGUGAAACUCAAAGGAAUUGACGGGGGCCCGCACAAGCGGAGGAACAUGUGGUUUAAUUCGAUGAUACGCGAGGAACCUUACCCGGGCUUGAAUUGCAGAGGAACAUAGUUGAAAGAUUAUGGCCGCAAGGUCUCUGUGAAGGUGCUGCAUGGUUGUCGUCAGCUCGUGCCGUGAGGUGUCGGCUUAAGUGCCAUAACGAGCGCAACCCUUAUCAUUAGUUACUAACAGGUCAUGCUGAGGACUCUAGUGAGACUGCCGUCGUAAGAUGUGAGGAAGGUGGA
This 1169-nucleotide ribosomal RNA is filed under the name uncultured Bacteroides sp. RNAcentral describes it as "bacterial SSU rRNA". It matches the Rfam family "Bacterial small subunit ribosomal RNA", at positions 10 to 1177 of the family's 1533-position model. The record is from RNAcentral. Lineage: Bacteria; Pseudomonadati; Bacteroidota; Bacteroidia; Bacteroidales; Bacteroidaceae.